RNAcentral lists this ribosomal RNA (550 nucleotides) under Kalophrynus menglienicus (Menglien grainy frog). Its description in RNAcentral is "partial large subunit ribosomal RNA". It matches the Rfam family "Bacterial large subunit ribosomal RNA", at positions 1854 to 2620 of the family's 2925-position model. The record is from RNAcentral. Lineage: Eukaryota; Metazoa; Chordata; Amphibia; Anura; Microhylidae.
CAGCCUGCCCAGUGACAAAGUUAAACGGCCGCGGUACCCUAACCGUGCGAAGGUAGCACAAUCACUUGUUCUUUAAAUGAGGACUAGUAUGAAUGGCAUCACGAGGGUUACACUGUCUCCCCCAUCCAAUCAGUGAAACUGAUCUCCCCGUGAAGAAGCGGGGAUAAAAAUAUAAGACGAGAAGACCCCAUGGAGCUUUAAACUCAGUAUCAACUGCUUUACAACAUACCUAAGUAACUUAGCAGAAAUGACUACUAGUUUUUGGUUGGGGUGACCGCGGAGCAAACACAACCUCCACGAUGAAUGGGCCUCCUACCCUUAUCCCAGAGCUACCACUCUAAGAAUCAAAAAAUUGACAAAAAUUGAUCCAAGUACUCUUGAUCAACGAACCAAGUUACCCUGGGGAUAACAGCGCAAUCCAUUUCAGAGCUCCUAUCGACAAAUGGGUUUACGACCUCGAUGUUGGAUCAGGGUAUCCCAGUGGUGCAGCCGCUACUAAAGGUUCGUUUGUUCAACGAUUAAAACCCUACGUGAUCUGAUCCAGACCGGA